AGUAGUUGGGAUUACAGGCGCAGAGGAUGCACGCUCAGGGAACCACCGCACCUGGCCAAUAUUUUCUCAUCUUAUCCUGACAUCUAUUGUUGCCGUUGAGAAGUCUGCUGUCAGCCAGUACUGGCAAUCAGUAUUUUCUCUGUGACUGCUGUUUCUUUCUUUUCUUCUUCUUUUUCUUUCUUUCUUUUUUUUUGUUUUGUUUUGUUUUGUUUUAAAAUAUUUUGUUAAUGGCGAAAGGUUAGGGUAAGUAGAAACUUUUUGGAGGCCUUUUUGGCACGAUCUAUCAAAAUUUUAAAGCUAGCAUUCUUGUUUCCAGGAAUAGAUCCUGAAGAUCUGAUUGCACAAGGGCAUGGAGCUAUGUGCAGAAGGAAGUUCACAUGUAGUUCUUUGUAAUCAUCAAACCUGGACAGGACAUGGGGCGGCCCGCGCAGGAGCACACUCACUGGGAAGGAUGAGGCGGCUCCCUGACGCUACGGGGUUCCGUGCACCUGCCCCGGCCUGCUGGGCCCUGAGGGGUCCUGACAGGAACUGCCUGCGGUGUGUGAGGAAGCUGCUGCUGACGUGGCCCUAGCCGUUACACCCCGCCGUGGAGCAG
RNAcentral lists this long non-coding RNA (595 nucleotides) under Homo sapiens (human). RNAcentral describes it as "HSALNT0239383". Lineage: Eukaryota; Metazoa; Chordata; Mammalia; Primates; Hominidae. The record is from RNAcentral.